Long non-coding RNA from Diabrotica virgifera virgifera (western corn rootworm), 1178 nucleotides. RefSeq lists it as uncharacterized. Lineage: Eukaryota; Metazoa; Arthropoda; Insecta; Coleoptera; Chrysomelidae. The transcript is spliced from 2 exons. The record is from RefSeq and is a predicted model, not a curated record.
UAACUUUAAGAGUAUGCAUGCACUGUUAAUUUUGGUUAGGAUUUUUUUAAACUUUUUAUGCUUGAUAUGAUAUAUCAUACAUAAUGUAAUAGAAUUAGCAACAAUGGUUAAGUUUCGAAAAGUUUACUUUAAAGGUAUCUCGUACACAAAAUAUUUCAAAAAGCUUUCUUUGAAAAAUAGUUAAAACCGGGUUUUAAUUGUUCCUUGUCCGAACUUAGCAAAACGCGUGUUGAGUCUAAAUUUGUUUAAUGAAUAAACAUUUCUUUUUAAAAUUUACCAGCAUAUUUUCUUUCAGCCUUUCCGAUAUAUUUGAAUGCGAUAUAUGAAAAAUCGUUAUUUCCCCUUUAAUAUUCGAAAAUCGUUGUUAGAAUGUAUGCUUCAUAAAUCCGUAUUUAAAAUAAAUUAUUGUUCUAUUAGACUCUCACUGUUUCCGAUAAGGUAAAUUCGAUGGAUACCUAAACCAUGUAUCUACAUAGACAUUUAAAUCGUUUUAAAAUUAAUAAAAUACUUUUAGACUACCGCAAGAUAUCUACCAGACUGCUAAAGUAGCCAAGAUUCUUUUACUUAUGGAAAAAGGCAAGGGAAAUCGGUACCGAGAAAAAAAAUGAAGUGAAAUCAAUAUAGAUGAUAACGAAUACUAUAGCUCUGAAUACGAAGGCGAUGAAGAACCGAUUAUGCAGAAGGUGCUAAAGCGGGUUACAAGGGGAAAAAACCUGAAGACGAAUUAGAUACUGGAGAUUCUGACAGAUAUGUGUAUCAGUCAACGGAACGUGAUCAACAUAAUGAAAACACAUUAUCAAGAAAUUAUUUUAAAAAGGCGACUAGGCCGUUUCACGAAUCUAACGAAGAAAAUAGUGAAGAACCACCAACAAAAAAAACUAAAGAAUCAACCACGAAAUCCAUCCAGAGAUUCAGAGCCAAAUGGUCAGAUAAUGAAAAACAAGUUUUACUUCAGUACUUUGAAAAACAUAUUGAAAAAAAAAUUACCCCUCGGAAACAUGAAUGUGACGAACUACUGAAACUACAUCCACACGUGUUCGAAAAUAAGGACUGGGUCCGAAUAAAAACAUAUGUGUAUAAUACAUUCCUUGAAAGGAAGUGAUUGCUUAUUUUUAUUUUUACUGAACCACAUACUCGUAAUAGAUUAUUUUUAGUUCCAAUAAAUUACUUUUAAAUAA